This 1240-nucleotide unclassified non-coding RNA is filed under the name Hevea brasiliensis (rubber tree). The record is from RNAcentral. Lineage: Eukaryota; Viridiplantae; Streptophyta; Magnoliopsida; Malpighiales; Euphorbiaceae.
UAGAAGGUGCAGAAAGAUUGAGAGAGUGGACUAAGAAAAAUUAAUCAUAUCUAAUAAUCAUAACAACAAACUCUUUUGAAUCAAUUUAUGCUCCUUCUUUGACUCUAGGUGAUGCUUAAAAAAGUUCUGCUUGAAUAUGAAUUGAAACCAAGAUGAAUUCUUUACCACACCAACUGCAAAUAUCAUGAAAAUGUGUCAUGCUGAGGGGGAUAAAUUGUUGUCAUAUGCUCUAUGUCCUGCUAAAGUUUCUAACUAAUGUAAAUAUCAUCACACAGGAUAUUAUGUUGGCCUUGUAUUUUGAAAACGGCUGAAUUUUAUGCUUUGCAUCCUUGUGUAUCCCAUUGGCCAGCAGGAAAUUAUGGGCUGAAAUUGUUGUAGCUGUUGCAUGGUGCAAACGUAAUGUUCUCUUCAUCUUUUGAGAGACAAGAUUUUUUAAGGCUUAUACGGGGUUCCAUUUUGAGAUUAGGAAUUGGGAUCAGUUUGUUACAAAAUGCAGAACAACUCCUGGAGUAUGCAAAUUAUGGGAAUAGUAAAUAUCAAUUUUAAGAUGGUGUCAACAAAAAAGAGCAAGCUUCGAGACUUCAAUUUUAAGGAUAGUAAAUGUCAUGGAAAGUUGGAGAAGAUUGAGACUUACAAAUCUAGUGAUGGAAUGUGGUGGAUGUUGAUGGAGAUUAGACCAGCUUAAUAUUCAUUCUACAGAUUCGAGUUUAUAAAAUUAUGUAAUUUAGUAUGAAUUUAUUUGCUUCAGUACUUGAUAUAUCAUAACGGUCUUUUGCUGAUUUUGAUGUGUGUUUAUGUACAUGUGUAAGUGUAACUUCAUUUUUAAAUGAGUUCUUGAUUUAGUCAUUAUGUUUAGUGAUUUAAGCCUUCAUUACUCAUUUUGAUGUAAAAUAAUUGUUUUUUAAAUUAAUGGCCUACCUUACUUGAAUGAGCACCUAGCUCCACAGGCAAUAGUGGAUAUGGCACUUUCUUUUGAAACAUGUUGUAUCUCGUUUGGAUGUUAAAGUUGAUGUGAAUCACUACAAUUCAAUAACAGAGUGAGCAAGUAAAGUUAUAGUUGAUUUUUGGCCCCACUGUUGCUUCAUGGAAUCAUGGUCAUGUCAUUGAUGCUUAAAUACCAUCCAAAUUGUGUUUCAUGUAUUUAUUCAAUAAAUUAUUUAGUCACUAUGAACUUUGUGGUAAUUCCUUUUCUAUAUGCAUUUUUAUAACUUUUCAGAGAUAUGAAGUAUAUAGUUCCAAG